This 247-nucleotide long non-coding RNA is filed under the name Homo sapiens (human). RNAcentral describes it as "HSALNT0339025". Lineage: Eukaryota; Metazoa; Chordata; Mammalia; Primates; Hominidae. The record is from RNAcentral.
GCAAAAGGCAAGCGUUCUUCUGGGUGGUCUGAGCGUGGUCCUAGGAAGGACGCUGUUUGUGAAGGUAAAAUCUCUAAUUGGGGAGAGAAGGGCCAGCUGGUGAGCUGUUGAGAUCAGGUGAAGACCUGAAUCGCAGAAGCACAGCACGGUCAGAGCCCGCUGCGCCGGCAGCAAGGCCAGAAGGUGCACGAAGAAGGUGAGGAUGCCUCUCUGUUUAUCGUUGGAUCUGCCUGCCGUCAAGACUCAC